RNAcentral lists this small RNA (185 nucleotides) under Xenorhabdus szentirmaii DSM 16338. Its description in RNAcentral is "rncO". It matches the Rfam family "rncO". Rfam says of the family: This family represents a bacterial regulatory element (rncO) found in the rnc leader sequence. The record is from RNAcentral. Lineage: Bacteria; Pseudomonadati; Pseudomonadota; Gammaproteobacteria; Enterobacterales; Morganellaceae.
GAAAUCUUAGGGAGCCAGUGCAAACGCAACAGUUUUGUAAGGCAUAUAUCUUUAUACCCAACCAGGAUAUAGCUUCACAGGUUUGUUGCGUGUGCUUUUAUUUGAUGAAUUCUAACUGAAUUGGUAGCACAUGAACGCCAUAAUAACGAACCGGUUACAACAUAAACUAGGCUAUACCUUUACAC